AUACGCCCCUGGCAGAUUGGAUGAACCUAUAACAAAUUUAUAAGCCAUUCGAUUAAUCAAACUGUACACAAGUUGCUGCAACAAGCUCUUCCCUCUUUUAACUUUCCCCUCUUUCUAGCAUGGGCAGACGUCCACCUCACAUUAACGACGUAUCAUGGCGUCUGCAGUACCACAUGAAGAACGGGCAGCUGGAUAAGAUCAACGAGCCUUUCUACCUGAUCUCACUGAACACGGAGAAUGAAGGAUCCUCGGAGGAUAUCAACUUCACCUGCACAACGGAGCAGCUGCAGGUAACAGAAAAAACACGUUAAACAGAGUUUAAUUGUCGGAAAAACAUAACGAAUAAAAACUCAUCCUACUUACGAGAUGUCUGUCCUGUUUGAUGCUUUUUUUGGGGGGGGGGGGG
Poecilia latipinna (sailfin molly) is the source of this 406-nucleotide long non-coding RNA. RefSeq lists it as uncharacterized. Lineage: Eukaryota; Metazoa; Chordata; Actinopteri; Cyprinodontiformes; Poeciliidae. The record is from RefSeq and is a predicted model, not a curated record. The transcript is spliced from 3 exons.